This 376-nucleotide unclassified non-coding RNA is filed under the name soil metagenome. Its description in RNAcentral is "partial contains 5.8S ribosomal RNA, internal transcribed spacer 2, and large subunit ribosomal RNA". The stretch from base 1 to 120 matches the Rfam family "5.8S ribosomal RNA", at positions 35 to 154 of the family's 154-position model. The record is from RNAcentral.
GAUGAAGAACGCAGCGAAAUGCGAUAAGUAAUGUGAAUUUCAGAAUUCAGUGAAUCAUCGAAUCUUUGAACGCAUCUUGCGCUCCUUGGUAUUCUGAGGAGCAUGCCUGUUUGAGUGUCAUUAAAUUCUCAACUACACUGACUUUGAAUUGGUGUGGCUUGGAUUUGGGGGGAAAAUUGUUGUGGGCUUUUUGUAUAGUCUGCUCCCCUGAAAUUGAUUAGCGGUACCUUUGUGGAACUGUCUACAGGUGUGAUAAUUAUCUACAUCUUAGACAUCUGCUGGAAUGCUGCUUUCUAAACCUUACUUGUAUUGACAAUCUUGACCUCAAAUCAGGUAGGACUACCCGCUGAACUUAAGCAUAUCAAUAAGCGGAGGA